Molecule: long non-coding RNA, 1517 nt
Organism: Ooceraea biroi (clonal raider ant)
Lineage: Eukaryota; Metazoa; Arthropoda; Insecta; Hymenoptera; Formicidae
Source: RefSeq, a predicted model, not a curated record
UCUCUCUCUGAAAAAAAUGUAAUGCUCUUAACUGUUUACUCGAUAAUCAUCGACACGGGACAAAGAAUGCAAAGAAUACAAGUAUUCCAUCAAUUCGCUCCGAUCACGUGAGAAAGUAAAAAUGGAUGGGUCCACCUCAUUCGAUCAAGUCUCAAAGCGGCCAAAACUGCGACAAACACGGGGAGGAUGCUGGUCGCGGCUGGUUGUUGGCGUCGCGCGUUGCGUCUCUCAGCUCGAAUCGGACUCGAUGACGGAAGUACCGAAAACGUGCACAAGUAGAGACACCAAGUAGAGCUGGGUUGUUUCGUCCGGGUUGCGCGUUGCAAAGCGCGAAAAAUCUCGACAACGAUCCGGCGAUUCGGAUCGAGCGGACAGCCCGCCGGUCGGCGAGCGGCGACUGGUCCCUCAGCGAGAUCUUAUGUCUUAUCGCUUAUAAGAAUUUCCGUAAUUUGCCUGGUGAGGUGAGUCAAUCAGCGAUAUCGUCGUCCAUCAUCCGAGAACAGCGGAUCAUCGUCAUUACCGUCAUUGCCGUUUCCAUUGCCGGUUGUGUCGUCGUUUUCGUCGUAUCAUCUCACGCGACAUCCCAACGUAUCAAGGUAAAUGUAUCGAUCAAAUCAAAUUCGGCAGUCAUCGGACGGAGAUGAACGUAGAAACUGGAUUUUGACGCCUGAAGCGUUGCGACUCGCGAGUUUGCAGGAAAACUCUCCGCGGUCUAUAAAUAUCGGCCUGUUGAAUACCACCCGCCAUAGAGCGACGCGCGUCGAUCGCUGCGCCAGUCGCGCUAAAUAUCGCAAGUCUCGAGAGGUUCAAAUAGAUUUUCCAGGCUGGACAAGCGUACGAAUUGAGAUCCGCGAUCCGUGAAAAUGGUAACGAUGCGUGCGCGUGCACGUCGUAUAAAAAUCUUUACCGAGAAUAUAUUUCGCAAUUUUUCGUCUCGCGAUAUACGACAAAAAUGGCCAGAUGAAUAAUUUAUUUAGACUUGCCUUAAGUCGCGUGACUUGUAAUAAAGAUUCAACGAAAAAAAAGAACCAAGAUUUAGUUUAUUAUCAUGUAUGUUGCUCAUUUGAUAGUUUAAUUUAUAAGAAAAAAAAUAAAUUAUACCACACACAGUAGUUGAUUUCUCUCUUUCUCUUUUUGCCUCCCGAAACAGGAUAAAUGCUAAUUAAGUAAAAAAUGAAAAGCGUAUUUAAACAGUUUGUGCGAUUGUUAGUUUAGAUCCAGCUUAUUGUUCAACUUAAGUUCUCGACACAGUUUCAUAUACGGCAUUUAUGUAAAAAGCAAUAUGACAGAGAAUCCAUUGUCAUGUCAACCAGCGAGCGAUAUAGAAAGUGCACUUGUAUUCCUCGAUUUUUAGCUAAAAGGUUUAUAGUUCCUAGAGAGGAAAACACGAGAAAGUAUCACCAGGACUUGAUCGUCAUUCGAUCAAGAAUUUUAUUUACAGCUAAAAUAGCACGAUAUAUCUGUAAUUGUAAUGCUAGUAAAUAUAUUAUAUAUCAUGUAACAUUAUCAUCAAUUAA